UCCCCUUCCUCUGCAUUCCUCCUUCCUCUGAUUUCUUCCCAUUAGCCUGCUGGGAGUAUGGGAAGAUUGGAGAUUGAUUAUCUAACAAAGGGCCUUUGUCCCAGGGAGGAGACAACUUCCAGUAAUGAAAUCUUGAGGACAGGACGAUUUGGAGGUUCUGGGAGCUGGGGAGUCACCCAAGUCCACUGGCAAGACAGUAGUCAGGACGACUGGCGACAGCGUGGGAUACAGGCCAUUGUGGAGGGGAGCAAUCACUACCAAGAAGGCACUCAUCUUCCUCACCACUGCUACCUGCACCAAUGGUUGACCAACACACGAUGGGCAGGUAAACUCAAGAGCACCAAGAGAGGCUACACACUCCAAGACCACACUAUUCAUGCCUCCUGCUCUGGAUGCCAUUUCUCAUGAAGCAACUGCCAAGGAGAUGCAGCCUAGGAAAUGCUUCUUUGAGUCCUGCAGAAACAUCUACUGAAGACCCAGGAAAAAAGGUUCCCGACACCAAAAUCCUUGGUUCUAUUCAAUGAUUCUCAGCUUCAGAAGUGGAUAUGAUUUCAUCAUGGGGGAAUGAUAUAGAUAUUUCCUUUCUGUCCUAGAAUCAAUAUUGUGUAUUGGUUCCAAAGCACAAGAGCAAUAAGAUGUAGGCAAUGGGGGUUAAGUGACUUGCCCAAGGUCACACAUCUAGGAAGUAUCUGAGGUCAAACUUGAACCCAGGAUUUCCCAUCUUUGCCCUGGCUGUUAAUCUACUGAGCCACCUAGCUACCCCGUAUUGGGGAUAUUUUUAAUGAUUCAUCAUCAUCUGCUUUGUGUCUGCCUCCUAAGGAGCAUGGGGCUUUUCCAUCUGACCCAAGCUGAAACCUUCCAUAUUUGUUGUCUCCUCCAUUAAAAUAUGAGUUCCUUGAGAGCAGAGGCUGUCUUUUUCUUUCUGUUUGUAUCUCUAACAUUUUGCCCAGUGCUUUGUAUCUAGUAAGUGCUCAAUAAAUGCUCAUUCAUUCAUUCCUUCUCUCCUUUA
RNAcentral lists this long non-coding RNA (1009 nucleotides) under Monodelphis domestica (gray short-tailed opossum). RNAcentral describes it as "lncRNA (ENSMODG00000044313.1)". The record is from RNAcentral. Lineage: Eukaryota; Metazoa; Chordata; Mammalia; Didelphimorphia; Didelphidae.